CCGGCUUCGAUGCGUGGGGGGAUUUGGCCCCGAGCGUUCCGGGUCGCGUUCUAGGGUUUCGGAGCUAAAUCUAGCUGGGAUCCCCCGCUGCUCGUGUAGGUGCGCCUGUUGACUUUUUGUUCCGCGGAUUUCCAGCUCGGGUUGUUGUAUCUUAAGCUCAGUUAGGGUUCGUAGUAGUUCCUUGGCCGAUUCGUUUAGCUAGGGUUUGUGGUUCACGAUGUAUUUAGCUCGCGGCGUUUCCAGGUUAGGGCUUGUAGUUCCUUGGCCUGUGGUUUCUAGUACUGUUGCGAUUCGUUUAGCUAGGGUUUGCAAUUCACGGCCUCUUUAGCUAGCAAUGGAUGUACGGUUUUGAUGUGACCCUGGCAGGAUUUGUGUUACCGAGUCUAUGUGCAGUAAGUUUUAGGGUUCAAAAGCCCUAUUGGCAGAGGUUUAGGGUUCCGAGUUUUACUGUAGCUACAUGUUUAGGUUAUAUUGCAUUCUUGUGGUACAGGGUGAAGAGCGAACGUUCAGCAUUACUGAAGCUGUAUGAAUUGUGAUGUUUGAGCUUUUGAUUCACAGUACCUUUGUUUGAACGAGCUAACAGUGAUUCACCAUGUUUCUGGUCUAACGUAUGAAAUAUCUUCCCAGACACAUGCGAGUGAAUGAGUCUUGCUCAAGUCUCCUGGAAGCAGCCAGGCAGUCACUAGCAAAUAACACCUAUUUUUAACCUGCCAUUUCUGGGAUUUGAUAGUCAAAAAAAAUUCUACCUCCAGUACGGUUUUACUUGGACAGGGUUGUCCACAUCUUAUGCCACAUAAGAUGCCCUUAAUCCACGUUGGAUUCGGAUACUUGUAUACGUGUCCAAGUGCUAACCAGGCAGUUUUUGUCGCGUUGUGGUUCUGCUUGUUGAUUUGUUCGUAGUGCAGGUCUCAUGAGUUUAAUUUAUACCAUGUAUAGCUAGGUCUGCUUCACCAAAUUAAUGUUUGUGUGUAGUAAGGUUGGGGUCAGGGAUUGUGUUGUAUAGGUAUAGUAUGAUGCUAUUUAUUAAAGCGUCCCGAUGAUGAAAUCAUUUUAGAGUGAACCGUUUUCCAACUGAAAGAUUCUAUUAUAUGAUGAGUAUUUACUUUCGUCAAUUAAUUAGUGUGAACAGUUUUCCAACUGAAAGAUACUAUUAGAUGGUGAAUAUUACUUUCCUCAAUUAAUUAGGUUUUGUCCUCAUUCCUAAUAACGUGUUGUUACGUCUGUCUUGGAUCAUUAAAUCAUCUGAGGAUGGAAAAUUAAAUUCUAAAAGUUACUUUGUGGCAUCCAAGGUUGGCUGGCCAGUUCUUCAUUCUAAUCCAGGCUGCAGUGGUCUAGUGGCCUGUGAGAAAGGGCACGGCAUACUGACAAUUCUAUGAGGAUGUGGUUGGAGCCUUGGACGUAGAUGGUAGAUGAGAAAGUUUAUUGGAUAUCAGGGAGACCGUGUUACGAAAGUGGGGCAGGGUCCUCUGUUUGUGACUAACAGUCUCCGUAAAACCUACCCAUCUGUGAUGUUAUUUCCAAGUCAAAUCUAGUUCUGUGUUAUCCAGCUAAGUUUCUAUCUUUGUGAGUCAGCUAGCUGGUUUUCCCUAUUUGGUAAGUGCAGUGUGAUUAAAAUGAUGAUUGCAUCGUACUAUAUAUUUUGCCAUGGUUGCAGUAUUCUUGAAUUUAUGUUUGUUACUCUUACUGCUGUUACAUUCUCUUGAGAUCUAGCUUCUCAACCUAUCCUAUUGAUAUACUUACUGCCAUGUCUUUGCUAAAUAUUUAAUUGAAUAUUAUAUAGAGCUUGUCAAAGACUUCAGUAUUAUGUCCAUGGCUAAAUUAUUAUAUUCAAUAGUAUUGUGUAGCCAGUCUCGUGCAGUCUCGUAGCCGUGUCAAAGACUUCAGUCUUGGACGAACUUAUCAUGUGCAAUUUGUAGGCUUGGUAAAAUUCAUGGCGGAACUGUUUCUUUAAUAAUAGUGCGAUAGAAUGGUAAAACACACACAACAACAGUCAGCAUGAAAGAGUGCUACUGCUGUGUUGGCAUAAUCUAUUGUUGUUAUCUUGUUGUUUUGUCUCCACGCAUAUUCAAAGCAGAUCAGCAUGGCUGUUGAUGUCAUUUUGUAGCAUGUGUUGGUUAUGAAUAAGCAUGUUUUCGUGGCUUGUUUAAUUGCAUUUAUUUACUUUGUUGAUUCUCAAAUUAUGGUGGCAGCCAGUUAAACAAAUACUGGAGAAUGUUUGAGGGAUGAUACCUCUCUGGGACCCAGACACUGAAGACCUGGUUGGACUAUCUUAGUAUUAAUGGAAAUCCAUGUUAUAGCACAUAUUGUAUUACUGUCGUAGUGAAGUAUUUACAUGGUAGUUGGCUACUAGACCAUGUUUUUAGUAUAGUUCUCUUCUUGUGUGUAUGAACAUUAUUUUUUCCUGGUGAUCAUCUUGGAAAGUGAAAUGAUCUAUGGAGUUGCAGUUUCAAUUGAAUAGUAGCUUGUGCACUUAUUGGGCUGCAUGGAGAUUGAUCCUGCAGGCUGGGAUGUACUUUUUGGGUGUGCUCUUUUAAAGCCACUGGCUUGGUAUUUUUUGGAAGUCCCGCAAAUUCUUCGAGGAUUGCGCAGAAAUAAUCAUAACAUGUUUAAGGAAACAUUGCUGCUAAAAAAAUCAUGUGUAUUGAAUCUUAUUUCACAGGCUACUCCUUGGGGAUAUUCCAAUUCUAGGCAGAACUAGUUAGGGUUGACAUAUGGUGUAA
This 2720-nucleotide long non-coding RNA is filed under the name Triticum aestivum (bread wheat). RNAcentral describes it as "long non-coding RNA (TAES_LNC006101)". The record is from RNAcentral. Lineage: Eukaryota; Viridiplantae; Streptophyta; Magnoliopsida; Poales; Poaceae.